RNAcentral lists this ribosomal RNA (511 nucleotides) under uncultured bacterium. RNAcentral describes it as "bacterial SSU rRNA". It matches the Rfam family "Bacterial small subunit ribosomal RNA", at positions 367 to 887 of the family's 1533-position model. The record is from RNAcentral.
GUGAAGGGCGAGCUGAGCAGCGACGCCGCGUGAGGGAUGAAGCUUUUCGGAGUGUAAACCCCUUUCGACCCGGACGAAAGCCCUCAAGGGCCUGACGGUACGGGUAUAAGAAGCCCCGGAUAACUACGUGCCAACAUCCGCGGUAAAACGUACGGGGCCAGCGUUGCUCGGAAUUACUGGGCGAUUAGGGUCUGUAAGCGGUGCGGCAAGUCGGAAGUGAAAUCUCAUGGCUUAACCCUGGGGCUGCUCCCGAAACUGCCAUGCUCAACUGCUAGAUAGGCGGGUGGAAAUGCAAGUGUAACUCUGAAAUGCGUAGAUAUCUGCACGAACAUCCGAAGCAAAAGCCGCCCGCUGGAUCGCUCCUGACGCUGAUAGACAAACUCUAAGGCAGCAAACUGGAUUACAUACCCUGUUAGUCCUAGUGCUAAACGAUGAUCGCUUGGAGUGGCGCUUAUCCAACCCUGCCGCGCCUAACCUAACGCGUUAACCGAUCCGCCUGGCGAGUACGGUC